UGAGUAAUGUCUGGGAAACUGCCCGAUGGAGGGGGAUAACUACUGGAAACGGUAGCUAAUACCGCAUAACGUCGCAAGACCAAAGUGGGGGACCUUCGGGCCUCACACCAUCGGAUGUGCCCAGAUGGGAUUAGCUAGUAGGUGGGGUAAUGGCUCACCUAGGCGACGAUCCCUAGCUGGUCUGAGAGGAUGACCAGCCACACUGAAACUGAGACACGGUCCAGACUCCUACGGGAGGCAGCAGUGGGGAAUAUUGCACAAUGGGCGCAAGCCUGAUGCAGCCAUGCCGCGUGUAUGAAGAAGGCCUUCGGGUUGUAAAGUACUUUCAGCGGGGAGGAAGGCGGUGAAGUUAAUAGCUUCACCGAUUGACGUUACCCGCAGAAGAAGCACCGGCUAACUCCGUGCCAGCAGCCGCGGUAAUACGGAGGGUGCAAGCGUUAAUCGGAAUUACUGGGCGUAAAGCGCACGCAGGCGGUCUGUCAAGUCGGAUGUGAAAUCCCCGGG
This 504-nucleotide ribosomal RNA is filed under the name uncultured bacterium. Its description in RNAcentral is "bacterial SSU rRNA". It matches the Rfam family "Bacterial small subunit ribosomal RNA", at positions 107 to 607 of the family's 1533-position model. The record is from RNAcentral.